AUGGACGCUGCAGGGUGUGGAGAGGGUUCGCAGGGUCAGCCCUCCGCUAGAUCGGUUGCCUCCCCGUCCCUCACCUCUCCACCUCCCGCUACUUAUAUGCCAAAGCCUAUGCUUGUAAGGGUCAGCACCUUCCUCACCUCACCUCGCCUCGCCUUGCCCAUCUCCUCCUCUCCAGCUCCCUCCCUCUCUCUUCGCCUCCAACUGCAGCUGCGUCUGCUGCUGCUGCCUUACUUGUUGCAGCUUGCAGACUCCUUCUCGGCAGGAACUAACACCGCCUUCAGGGAAAAAAAACAGCAUACAGAAGGAAUCAAGGAGCAUGUUAUUAACUUUUCAUUGGUUAGCUUGGUCCGUUAG
Molecule: ribosomal RNA, 354 nt
Filed under: Triticum aestivum (bread wheat)
Lineage: Eukaryota; Viridiplantae; Streptophyta; Magnoliopsida; Poales; Poaceae
Description: partial small subunit ribosomal RNA
Source: RNAcentral